UGCCCAUAUCACGUUGAAAUACCAGUUCUCGUACGAUCACCGAAGUUAAGCAACGACGAGCCUGAGCAGUAGAUAGGUGGGUGACCGCUUGGGAAUACCACAUGCU
Non-coding RNA from Acanthosepion pharaonis, 106 nucleotides. NCBI's taxonomy places the organism in Eukaryota, Metazoa, Mollusca, Cephalopoda, Sepiida, Sepiidae. The record is from the annotation of a GenBank genome assembly.